This is a non-coding RNA of Ceratotherium simum simum (southern white rhinoceros), 229 nucleotides long. The record is from RefSeq and is a predicted model, not a curated record. Lineage: Eukaryota; Metazoa; Chordata; Mammalia; Perissodactyla; Rhinocerotidae.
UGCUGGGGGCGAUGGAGCGGUUUGAUAAACUGGAUAUGUCAGCUAUGCUUAAGUGGGAGUCAGCCCUGGACAGAGAGCAGAUUUCCAGACAGGUCCUCCCAGAGGCUGCUGCGGUCACUCUGGACUGUAAAAUGAAAGCCAAAGAGAAGUACCAAUCCGACCUGUGGUUAGAAAUCGAACACCUGAAUAAGGGUAUAGUGCGACAAGACUCAAGUUCAUCUUCCUUGGC